AGCACUCCCGCAAUCAUCAGGAGGAUAAGCGGCUCAGAAAAUGGGUUGGUGUGGGUACUAAAAAACUAAAAUACAUUAAAAUAAAAAACAAGAUGCUGUACUAACCAUUACUGUGAGUGGUGGAUGACAAAUAAUGAGGGGAGGCUGUGCUUAGCUAUGACUAGCAUGCGCAGGAAGCCCUUUCUCGCUGUAAAUUCCUCUCUCAGCCUCCUUGCUUUUUUGCUCUUUCAAAGUUAGGAAAAUCCCCCGUGCCUUUUCCCUUAAUGAACAUUAGGCUGAUAUUAAGCCUAUGUUGAUUCUGAUCCUCCAUCUGUAACAUAAUCUUUCCAUCUCUGCAACGAUUGAAGAACAUGUUUUUUUCUUCGUGAAAAAAGUUGCUUCAUGAUCACUAUCGCUCAUAGGGGCGCAAUCCUUCACGUCUGCUAAAAUACAGGCUUUGUAAUAAUCAACACGGUCAACCGACUGAAGCCCAAACAAAGUCUUGACCGAUGUUUAUCGGUGUUACUCUUUUCGCCGAUGUUUUCAUGAUGUUAAGCUUCGUUUCCAUGGUAAUUGCUUUUUGUUUCAACAGGACCUGCAUUGCUAAAAAAAAAAAAAAAAAAAAAACAGCUUUCUUCUUUUGAGCCAUAAUGCGUAAAAAGGAAAAAGGCAAAUAUACUCCCGACGCAGAAACACAGCUUCACGCCAUUUAUGUCACCAUCUCCAUCCAUCCAUCUUCUGAGCUGCUUAUCCUCACGAGGGCCGCGGGAGUGCUGGGGCCAAUCCCAGCUAUCGUCGGGCAGGAGGCAGAGUACACCCUGAACUGGUUGUCAGCCAUGGAGACAGACAACAGUCGCACUCACGAUCACACCUAAGGGCAAUUUAGAGUGUCCAAUUAAAUGCAUGUUUUGGCGAUGUGGGAGGAAACCGGAGUGGCCGGAGAAAACCCACACAAGCAGGGCCGCGGUUUCAACUCCAGUCCUUAAAACUGUGAGGCCGACUCUCUUCAGCUGCGCACCGUGCCAUCAUCUACUUACAACAUUUUUUAUAUGUAUGUAAUUAAUUUGCUCAAAUUGUACCUAGUGGACAGAUAUUUCUUGAUGGCUGACUUCCAACCAUAGAUUGUAUAUUAUAAUGUAAGAUGGGCACCCAAUACACGUAAAAUAAAACUAAAUAUGACUUUUA
Molecule: long non-coding RNA, 1164 nt
Organism: Syngnathoides biaculeatus (alligator pipefish)
Lineage: Eukaryota; Metazoa; Chordata; Actinopteri; Syngnathiformes; Syngnathidae
Exons: 2
Source: RefSeq, a predicted model, not a curated record